GGCCAAUCAGAAGCUUCUAAACAUCAAUACAUCAAUUUCUGGAAUUUGCAAAGCGUGUGGAAGUUGGAAUUAUGAUGUAGUGAAUAAAAGCUGAAAUUAAGCUGUUUCCAAUCCAUCGUUUUAAAAUUACGUAUCUCUGAUGUGAACAAAGUAGAUGCCCUAGUAGACGUGCCAAAAAAAAAAAAAAAAAAAGGUAUGGUUACUUCAAACUUGACUGAUUAUCUUAACCUAGGUGUAUGUAAACUUUUGGCCUCAAUUGUACAGAUAUUGUGAAGGGUUAUUUACCUGGCCAUGGGAGCCAUUCCCAUGCUAUUCUGUACCAUCACUUUAUUAAUUCCUUUGAGGGCCACCAUCUUGGCCUUCAUGAUUGGGUCUGUAAUAGCAUCAAAGUCUAUACAAAAAAAAAAAAAAACCCCAGUGAAGACAAAAACAUUGCAGUUACUGGACUGUGCAACAUUUAGACAGUUUAUACUUGAUCAUUUAAUGCGUCUUGACUUGAUCCAAGUUAUAUAAUGUUAUCAGCAUAAAAUCCAGAUACAAGAUGCAUAAUGUGACCAAGAUGCAUAAGAUGCAUAAAUGGGGUCUUACAUUCCUUUGACUUUCAUAGCACUGACUUGCAUAUUAAUGAACGAUUGACAUUUAAACAGUAAUAGUAAUAAAACCUUACCAAUAUUAGGGAAAAAGGGGUCAGUAGAGCGUUGCCGAAUCAUAGCCUGCAUCUGCCUUUGUUGUUGCUGCUCCUGCCUCUCCUGAUCCAACAGAUCUUGCAGAAGGAGUGGUUGCUCAUCUAACAGCAGUGGCCUGUUUGUCUGGCCUUGCUGUAUUUUUUGCCCUUGCUGGCCUAUGGACCCUUGUGGAUACAUCACCUGCUGGGCCUGUGGAUGAAGAGUGUGGGGGACAGGUUGCUGCCCAACCAUCAUGGGCAGGUUUAUAUCCACUUGCUGGCCCGGUGAAGCUCCAAAUCCUUGGACUGGUAUCUGCUGACUGCCAACUGGCAAUGUAUUUGGGUUUCCUAGUGGUGCUCCAUGAGCGAGUGACACAUCCAUUCUGUGCCCUACAGUCAUUGCAGGGUUCAUCCCGUGGUCUUUCCUUUGACCCUGCAACAUCAUGCCCAUGUUGGGCUGAAGUUCCGGACCAUGGUUAGCCUGGACAAGAUUACCCUGGUGAGGGGGUGCUACAGGGCCGAUCCCAGAGUCAUCAAGUUUCUCUUUGGUUAAAAGGCUUGAGAGCACUGGAGCAGAACCAGAAGGGACCCCUGCACUUGAUAAACCAAUCUGCUGAGGUGAUCCCUCAAAGAGACUGGACAUUUCUCCUUGGCUAUUUUUACUCUCUAGAGACCUGUUGUCAUCAACAGACUGGUCCUCACUGAUGACUGAAUCCUGUUUAACCUCUGUUUUUAUAGUACUUGUUGUCAAGAGACCAUCAGUGCUUUCCACUUCUAGGUUCUCUUCUUGUUUGCCAUGAGAAGGUCGCUCACCAUCCUCUGAUUUAUUCACAGUUUGAGGAGAUUUCUUCUCAUACAGGACCUUCUGAAGGACAGAGGUUUCCCCAUGAUCAUCCUCUAUGGGGUCACUCAGAUCUAGCUCCUCAUUAAACAUAUCCUUCUUGUCCUCAAGGUUCAGCUCAGGAUCAGCAUAAGCAAGGAGGUCGAAUUUCCCAGAUUCAAUCAAAUCGUCAAGGUGAAGGUCAUUUGUUUCCAAAUCUAUCUCCUUACCAUCAUCCGCAUCAAGGUUCAAGUUUUCCAAAUCAUCAUCAACCAAAUCUUUGACCUCUACAUCCUCAAGGUCCUUCACUGCCGAGUCAUCUGCAUCUAACUUCUCCUCUAUUCCAUCACCACAAGGCAGUGGGAUAUCUUCUGUUGAACCUCGGACUGUCCCAGCUAGAAGUGUUGGUUGGGUAGAAUUAAGUGCUUCGCCACUAACUGAAUGAGUGAUUGUGGUUGACAGUGGAGGAUGUUGUGGAGCAGUAUUCUCUGGCAUGUUUGCUUGCUGAUGCAAAUUCUCUAUGCUUGCUGACAUUUGCAGGUGCCCAACAGAUCCUUGCUGGGGUUGACCAAUCAUUGGAGUCAAAGGCCGUGGACCCUGGGUCCCAGGAAAGGCCAUAUGUUGCCCUCCCAUUAAGCUGGUUGAAGAUCUUUGAGGAUGAUUCGGAUGGUCCAUGAUGUUGGGUGGCAGAAAUGGUAGUCUGACUCGAUUCUCUGGUGCCCUAUGUCGAAGCUCAAUAAAAGGCUGGCCCAUUAUGUUGUGUGGCUGCACUGGAAGGCCACGUGGUAGAAAUUGGAGGGAGCCUUUCACCUGACUGUGAACAUGGGGUCAUAGGUGACUCAAAAGAGUCAUGUAUAGGGGUUUGAUUAGUCUGUGGCAAGGAGAAGUUUUCAUCUGAAAUUCCAAGGUGUUUGGGGGUUUGAGAACCUGGGCCAGCUGGAUGAGCAAAUGAAUCAGUCAUCCUGUUUUGAACAUGAUGACUAAAAGGAUCUGAGGUAUGAACCAUAGGGCUUGGCCUUGGGGUUCCAGGAGGUUGAGCAUAUGGGUCAUUGAGAACUGGUCUCGGUGUUCCAGGUGGUUGAUCAUACGGAUCUGAUUUGGUGGGCCGAGGUGUUCCAGCAGCCUGUGUGUAUGCUUCUGCAUUUCUCUGAUUACCUGGGGAUUUAGAGUACCUUUCUCCUGCUGCUGGUCUUGGAGUACCUGGCAUUUGGGCAUAUGGAUCCAUAGUGUGAGAUGGAGACUGCCUGCAGCUAGAUGACUGUGCCUGAGAAAACUGUUCUAUAGGUCGAGGUGUAGAAGGAGGAACUGAAAACGGAUCAGAAUGUGGCCUUGGGGUACCAGGAGGCUGGGAACAGGCUUCAUGAGGUCGGGGAGUACCAGGAGGCUGAGAAUAGGGAUCAGCCAUUUGUGAAGAGUACUCUGGUCUAGGUGUAGAUGGUGCCUGUGCAUAUGGAUCCCUUUGAGGAUGCCUGGUCAUUAGCAUAGGUUGUGUAAAGUGACCUCCUGAAGCCUGACGCAUCAUUCUGCCAUCAGUGUUGAAAGCAUCUCCCAGUGAUGAAUGAGGAGUUAGAGGCUGAUGCGCGUAAGGAUCAGUUUGCUGACCCUGAGUAAAGCCAUCUGAUGGUCCACGCCUCAUGCUUAGCUGUCCUGUACUGAAGGAGUCUUGGAGAGGAUGUGAGGGAGGCAUGGGAGUUUUAAAAAGUGGCACAGAACCAGAUUCAUUACUUCCAGGAAUAGGUGUUAACAGUGGCCUUGAGUAAGGGUCUGAUAGCACAACACGUUGAGGCAUUCGCUGGUAUGCCUCUAAUCUCUGGUUUGGCCUGGUGAAAUCUCCAGAUGUAGUAUUAGCCAACAUGUAUCUACCCUGUUGUUGCUGAAGAUGCAGCUGCUGCUCUGAUACAGACCCAGGCCUGGAGAGUCCUAAGGGUUUCACAAAUGGGUCUGUUGGCCUGGGUGUGUCUGGUGGUUUUGAAUGAACGUCAGCAUUCGCAGAUGUUGGUGAACCAAAUGACUCGUGGGCUGGAGAGGGCCUGCCCCUUUCCUGCAUGUCAGAUACCGAGCAUCUAUGAGGUGUACUUGAUCCCGAUGGUGAGGGUCGAGGAGUACCUGCCAUUUUAGCAUAUGGAUCCCAAGGAGAAGAUGGACGGGAGCCUGAUGAACCUGGAGAAAACAUCUGAGGAGACUGAGGCUGAGAUGAUGACCCCUGGGGGUACUGGGUAUCCUGGGUGGGAGUUUUUGCUGCUGAUGAUGGGGGUGGCAAUUGGGGACGCAAAAAUACAUCAUCUGAAGAUGAGCUUGAGGUUGGUGUCCCAGGAAGUUGGGGCCUCACAAAGGUAUCCUUGAUUGUCGUAGGCUGUAGAGGGGAUGUGCUGCCUCCAUUGGUGGGCUGAGGUGUCAUGGGACUUUUACUCCCACUGUUAGAGGUAUCUCCACUUGACUGGCCACUGAAUUGUUGCUGCUGCUGUUGUUGCUGUUGAAGUUGCUGCUGUUCAUUUUUAACCUGCUCAAGCUUCUGAGUGGCUUCAAUCUUCGCCUGCUGUUUGCUCUUUUGUCUCAUUUGCUGCCGUGGAAACCAGAAAGCAAAUGAAACACUUCAG
Molecule: long non-coding RNA, 4081 nt
Organism: Ictalurus punctatus (channel catfish)
Lineage: Eukaryota; Metazoa; Chordata; Actinopteri; Siluriformes; Ictaluridae
Source: Ensembl